CGGGGUGAGUAACACGUGAGCAACCUGCCUUUCAGAGGGGGACAACAGUUGGAAACGACUGCUAAUACCGCAUAAAAUGACGGAACCGCAUGAUUCUGUUAUCAAAGGAGAAAUCCGCUGAAAGAUGGGCUCGCGUCUGAUUAGAUAGUUGGUGAGGUAACGGCCCACCAAGUCGACGAUCAGUAGCCGGACUGAGAGGUUGAACGGCCACAUUGGGACUGAGACACGGCCCAGACUCCUACGGGAGGCAGCAG
This 254-nucleotide ribosomal RNA is filed under the name uncultured bacterium. RNAcentral's name for it is "partial 16S ribosomal RNA". It matches the Rfam family "Bacterial small subunit ribosomal RNA", at positions 100 to 354 of the family's 1533-position model. The record is from RNAcentral.